This 327-nucleotide unclassified non-coding RNA is filed under the name Coprinopsis urticicola. RNAcentral describes it as "partial internal transcribed spacer region". The stretch from base 1 to 46 matches the Rfam family "Eukaryotic small subunit ribosomal RNA", at positions 1786 to 1831 of the family's 1831-position model. The record is from RNAcentral. Lineage: Eukaryota; Fungi; Basidiomycota; Agaricomycetes; Agaricales; Psathyrellaceae.
AAGUCGUAACAAGGUUUCCGUAGGUGAACCUGCGGAAGGAUCAUUAUUGAAUAAAUCUGGCGCUGGGUUGUAGCUGGCUCUCCGGAGCAUGUGCACACCUUCGUCACCUUUAUCUUUCCACCUGUGCACCCACUGUAGUCCUGGAUCCCUCUCGCCGAAAGGCGGAUGCAGAGCCUGCUGUGACUUUGGCAACAAAGGCCGGCUUGCUCUGAAUUUCCAGGUCUAUGAUCUUUACACACCCCUAAACGAAUGUCAUAGAAUGUAUAUCACUGGGCCUUUGUGCCUAUAAACCUUAUACAACUUUCAACAACGGAUCUCUUGGCUCUC